This is a long non-coding RNA of Sardina pilchardus (European sardine), 814 nucleotides long. RefSeq lists it as uncharacterized. Lineage: Eukaryota; Metazoa; Chordata; Actinopteri; Clupeiformes; Clupeidae. The transcript is spliced from 4 exons. The record is from RefSeq and is a predicted model, not a curated record.
AGCCACUACUGCCACCUCGCUCGCUAAAGUUUUGCCAACCGACGUUACGUCUCUGUUGUGUUGAAGACUGGACUGGCGAAGUUAUGAAUUUACUUGUAACUCCGAGUUAUUGCAGUUUGUGAGCGGAGCGGACAACUGAUCCGAGGAGCACAGGCAUACAAGUAUGUCCAUCCUAAACUACUGUUAACAUCCUUCUUCAAAGAGCCGACGGAUUCUCUGUUCAUUCUGGCUGAUGUCACUACAACCCUGGCAGACAUCGAGGGGGAAGAGAGUCUUCCAGACACACCCAGAAUAAUUAUGCUUGAAGCGCAUUUUGGAGGUCACACACUGAUGUUGGACGAGGCGACUGGCUCUCAGGAUCCGCUCUAAUUCAUCCCAAAGGUGUUCUAUUGAGUUGAGGUCAGGACCCUGUGCAGGCCAGUCAAGUUCAUCCAGACCAAACUCUGUUAUCCAUGCCUUUAUGGACCUUGCUUUGUGCACUGGUGCACCGUCAUGUUGGAACAGGAAGGGGCCAUCCCCGAGCUGGGCUUGGUCCCUUAGUUCCAGUGAAAGGAACUUUGAAUGCUUUAGCAUUAACCAAGAGAUUUUGGACAAUUUUAAGCUCCCAACUUUGUGAGAAGUGUGUGUGUGUGUGUGUGUGUGUGUGUGUGUGUGUGUGUGUGUGUGUGUGUGUGUGUGUGUGUGUGUGUGUGUGUGUGUGUGUGUGUGUGUGUGUGUGUGUGUGGCAGCCAGAGCCAUAGAGGGAUUGUGUUCUCUACCUUUUGUGACAGCAGUGAUGUUUUUUUAAUUACAUGUUAAAUGCAAUAAUAUGAGU